GGGAAUAGCUCAGCUGGUAGAGCAUCACGUUGCCAACGUGAAUGUCGCGAGUUCGAAUCUCGUUUCCC
Molecule: transfer RNA, 68 nt
Filed under: Pseudothioglobus singularis (SeqCode)
Lineage: Bacteria; Pseudomonadati; Pseudomonadota; Gammaproteobacteria; Pseudothioglobaceae (SeqCode)
Also listed under: 2 other names
Rfam family: tRNA
About the family: Transfer RNA (tRNA) molecules are approximately 80 nucleotides in length. Their secondary structure includes four short double-helical elements and three loops (D, anti-codon, and T loops).
Source: RNAcentral